This 98-nucleotide transfer RNA is filed under the name Streptomyces chromofuscus. RNAcentral describes it as "tRNA-Trp". The record is from RNAcentral. Lineage: Bacteria; Bacillati; Actinomycetota; Actinomycetes; Kitasatosporales; Streptomycetaceae.
GGGGCCCGGCGGCCCGCAACGCGGCGCUCUCCGCAUCCAGGUCGGAGACGAAGGGGUCGAGGUGGAUUCUGGCCGGUUCGGCGCCGGCCGGGGCCUUC